GCCGGAAUGGCGGAAUUGGCAGACGCACCAGACUCAAAAUCUGGCGUUGGCAACAACGUAUCGGUUCAAGUCCGAUUUCCGGCACCA
Molecule: transfer RNA, 87 nt
Filed under: Pseudoselenomonas ruminantium
Lineage: Bacteria; Bacillati; Bacillota; Negativicutes; Selenomonadales; Selenomonadaceae
Also listed under: 1 other name
Description: Selenomonas ruminantium (feces metagenome) tRNA-Leu
Rfam family: tRNA
About the family: Transfer RNA (tRNA) molecules are approximately 80 nucleotides in length. Their secondary structure includes four short double-helical elements and three loops (D, anti-codon, and T loops). Further hydrogen bonds mediate the characteristic L-shaped molecular structure. tRNAs have two regions of fundamental functional importance: the anti-codon, which is responsible for specific mRNA codon recognition, and the 3' end, to which the tRNAs corresponding amino acid is attached (by aminoacyl-tRNA synthetases). tRNAs cope with the degeneracy of the genetic code in two manners: having more than one tRNA (with a specific anti-codon) for a particular amino acid; and 'wobble' base-pairing, i.e. permitting non-standard base-pairing at the 3rd anti-codon position.
Source: RNAcentral